UCUUGAGAGAAAAUCAUUGUCAGGAGAAC
Molecule: non-coding RNA, 29 nt
Filed under: Mus musculus (house mouse)
Lineage: Eukaryota; Metazoa; Chordata; Mammalia; Rodentia; Muridae
Source: RNAcentral